RNAcentral lists this long non-coding RNA (1096 nucleotides) under Felis catus (domestic cat). RNAcentral's name for it is "lncRNA (ENSFCAG00000047236.1)". Lineage: Eukaryota; Metazoa; Chordata; Mammalia; Carnivora; Felidae. The record is from RNAcentral.
AGCAAACAACUCUUGAUUUUGACUCAGGUCAUGAUUCCAGGGUCAUGGGAUAGAGCCUCAGUCAGGCUCUGCACUAAGCAUGAAGCCUGCUUAAAAUUCAUUCUCUCUCUCUCUCUCUCUCUCUCUCUCUCUUUCCCUCUUCCCCUUACCCCCUUGUGAACACGUACUCUCUUUCUCUAACAAUAAAAGUUAUAUACAAACUAACAAUCUAAUCUUAGUUUCCCCUGAAUUUGCUCUUCUUCAUUUGCAGUUCACUGAAUUUAUGGUUCUAAACUGAUCCAGUGUGUGCAGACAAUUCAACUUAUGGGAGCUCCAGCUUUCCCUCUCUGAGUUGUGUCUGGGCCCCUCCUUUGUGUCCCUGAAAGGAAGAGGCUGCCAGGACUCAGUGGCAUCUGUGUGCUUGAAGGAAUUUGUCUGAGAUGACCUUAAGGCAACCUACUUUGAAGAGAAUAUUGAGCGUGUAAAAGGCAACAAACAUAUUACAACUUUUCGGUAUUUGAACCCAGCUCUGCCUCUUUCCAUUUGUGAGACCUCAUUAGCUUCAGUGCACUUACCUGUUAAAUGAGAAUAAUGAUAUCAUCUUGCAAGGCUCCAUCAUAACAUGGAUUUCCAAGACCACGUCAGCAUAGAUGCCUGUUUACAAAGGUAUUCAAACAAUGCAAGAGCUAUGGACUCUCAGAGUAUACCACUGAAGGGGAGACUGCUUAAUAAGAAGACGAAGAGGAUGGGAAAAUGGUGCCUCUAAGAUUCCCGUUAGUAAUGCAUCUGUCGGUAACCCUUCCCCACAACAUCCCUGAUCCGCCAGUAGCUGUUCCUCCUUAUGGCCCUUCCCGGAUACUUCACUUCUUAUACAUUGGGAAAUGAUUUCAAAGUGAGAGCUAUAUAAGUAAACAUUUCCCCCACUUCCUGUCAUGCUCUUAACUAGAUGCAGCAUAGAGAUUAGAACAUGAGAACAAACUGAGGGCUGAUGGGGGGUGGGAGGGGGGGAGGGUGGGUGAUGGGUAUUGAGGAGGGCACCUGUUGGGAUGAGCACUGGGUGUUGUAUGGAAACCAAUUUGACAAUAAAUUUCAUAUAUUUAAAAAAAUAAAUAAAAUA